GCCAUUAGUUGGGGGGUAUAACCCUCGGCUGGUAACCGAGUGGGUUCGGGUUCGAAUCCCGAGAAAGACA
Molecule: transfer RNA, 70 nt
Filed under: Trichonephila inaurata madagascariensis
Lineage: Eukaryota; Metazoa; Arthropoda; Arachnida; Araneae; Nephilidae
Description: tRNA-Thr
Rfam family: tRNA (bases 6-62)
About the family: Transfer RNA (tRNA) molecules are approximately 80 nucleotides in length. Their secondary structure includes four short double-helical elements and three loops (D, anti-codon, and T loops).
Source: RNAcentral